CCAAUAGCGUAUAUUAAAGUUGUUGCAGUUAAAGAGCUCGUAGUUGAAUUUCGAGAUCGGUUUAUUGGUCGUGCUAUUGUACGUACUGGUAUUACCGGUUUCUCCUUUCUGACGAACCUUAAUGCCAUUAAUUUGGUGUUUUGGGAAAUCAGGACUGUUACUUUGAAAAAAUUAGAGUGUUUAAAGCAGGCUCACGCUUGAAUACAUUAGCAUGGAAUAACGGAAUAGGACGUUUGAUUCUAUUUUGUUGGUUUCUAGGAUCGACGUAAUGAUUAAUAGGGAUAGUUGGGGGCAUUAGUAUUCAAUUGUCAGAGGUGAAAUUCUUGGAUUUAUUGAAGACUAACUACUGCGAAAGCAUUUGCCAAGGAUGUUUUCAUUAAUCAAGAACGAAAGUUAGGGGAUCGAAGACGAUCAGAUACCGUCGUAGUCUUAGCCAUAAACUAUGCCGACUAGGGAUCGGAUGAUGUUAAUUUUUUAAUGACUCAUUCGGCGCCUUACG
This 499-nucleotide ribosomal RNA is filed under the name uncultured Glomeromycotina. RNAcentral describes it as "partial small subunit ribosomal RNA". It matches the Rfam family "Eukaryotic small subunit ribosomal RNA", at positions 591 to 1092 of the family's 1831-position model. The record is from RNAcentral. Lineage: Eukaryota; Fungi; Glomeromycota.